GGAAUAUUGGACAAUGGGCGCAAGCCUGAUCCAGCCAUGCCGCGUGAGUGAUGAAGGCCCUAGGGUUGUAAAGCUCUUUCACCGGUGAAGAUAAUGACGGUAACCGGAGAAGAAGCCCCGGCUAACUUCGUGCCAGCAGCCGCGGUAAUACGAAGGGGGCUAGCGUUGUUCGGAUUUACUGGGCGUAAAGCGCGCGUAGGCGGGUCGUUAAGUCGGGGGUGAAAUCCCGAGGCUCAACCUCGGAACUGCCUUCGAUACUGGCGACCUAGAGUCCGGGAGAGGUGUAUGGAACUCCUAGUGUAGAGGUGGAAUUCGUAGAUAUUAGGAAGGACACCGGUGGCGAAGGCGAUACACUGGCCCGGUACUGACGCUGAGGCGCGAAAGCGUGGGGAGCAA
This 396-nucleotide ribosomal RNA is filed under the name uncultured bacterium. RNAcentral's name for it is "bacterial SSU rRNA". It matches the Rfam family "Bacterial small subunit ribosomal RNA", at positions 358 to 771 of the family's 1533-position model. The record is from RNAcentral.